UUAUGGGAGCAUGGAGAAAUUAAGUAUUUUUUGGGUUGUUUGAAAGGCAAUUCUGAUAUAGAUAAUGAAUAUAAAUUGUUACAAGGAACUCGUUGGGGCAGACAAGUGCUAGUGAAGAAAAGGCAAAGUUGUAUUAAAAUGUAUGAUAUAGUGGUGUGAUAUAUGCAUACAGAGAAUUGGAACCGUGAAUGAUGUUUAACUAUUGAUAAUCACUGUAAAAAGAAUAACUUACUCAUAGAUGCUUUUUGUAUAUAUUGUUCUGGAAUGAGUGCAACAGUUGCCUUUGCAUUGAUUGACUAAGAAACUUAGGGUGCUUACUUAUUUUAUCGAUUCACUCUGGGAAUUUGUUAGGUAGCAGCAAGGUUGGUUGUUGAAGCCUCGGGGCAUAUAUGUUGUUGGCAUACCUCCAAUAUAAUUGUUGUUGCAUUUAUUACUUUUACCGCAAUAUUAACAUGA
RNAcentral lists this unclassified non-coding RNA (456 nucleotides) under Hevea brasiliensis (rubber tree). The record is from RNAcentral. Lineage: Eukaryota; Viridiplantae; Streptophyta; Magnoliopsida; Malpighiales; Euphorbiaceae.